Molecule: unclassified non-coding RNA, 391 nt
Filed under: soil metagenome
Description: partial contains 5.8S ribosomal RNA, internal transcribed spacer 2, and large subunit ribosomal RNA
Rfam family: 5.8S ribosomal RNA (bases 1-122)
Source: RNAcentral
GAUGAAGAACGCAGUGAAAUGCGAUACUUGGUGUGAAUUGCAGAAUCCCGUGAACCAUCGAGUCUUUGAACGCAAGUUGCGCCCGAAGCCAUUAGGCCGAGGGCACGCCUGCCUGGGUGUCACACGUCGUUGCCCCCCCAUCUACUCCUUCGGGAUUGCGGGGGGCGGAUGAUGGCCUCCCGUGCGCCUCGUCGCGCGGUUGGCAUAAAUGCCAAAUCCACGGCGACGCACGCCACGACAAUCGGUGGUUGCGAAACCUCGGUUGCCCGUCGUGUGCGGUCGUCGCGCAUCGAGGGCUCGAAAAAAUUGCCGGGCUCCGGCUCGGCUUUCAACGCGACCCCAGGUCAGGCGGGGUUACCCGCUGAAUUUAAGCAUAUCAAUAAGCGGAGGA